This is a long non-coding RNA of Myotis myotis, 635 nucleotides long. RefSeq lists it as uncharacterized. The transcript has 3 exons. NCBI's taxonomy places the organism in Eukaryota, Metazoa, Chordata, Mammalia, Chiroptera, Vespertilionidae. The record is from RefSeq and is a predicted model, not a curated record.
AACACUCUUUUGGGUAAAUUUAAUUUGAAAAGAACAUUUUAAAGGAGCCCAAAACAUAAUCACAGAGUGAAACAGGGAGGAGGGUGCUGUCUCCAGGAGCUCAGGGUGCCAGCACCUCUGAACCCUCAGAGAGACAACAGAGCAACAUGCGGGGCCCACGGGGCAGCCGCUGCCAGGAAGCCGGGCACCAGGAGGGCUCAAGGCGGGAACAGUGAGGAGGAGCAGGCAGGCGCGCGGAGUUCGGAGAAAAUGUUUUAGGAGCUCAAAACCGGCAAACCUUUCCACUGAAUCUGUAGAGCACAGCCCCUGGGCCAUCACUCGCUCCCGGCCACCCGCACACUUUGAGAAGCAAAACGUAAAGAGAAAACUGUGAACUGUGGAGUCAGGCCCGUGUCUGAAUUCCAGAAAUGCCACUUUUAUCUCCUCUGCGAAGUGGGAAGAACUCUUGAUAUUAAAUGGAACAAGCGGUGCAGAAAGAAGUGUCUGGCAUGGUAUCCAGCAGAGUCAGUGAUCAAAUCCCCCCGGCUGUUCCGGAAGGGCACCUUCUCCGGCUCAGUGAAGGUGGCCACGGCGCACGCCUGGCAGCGGCCUCCCAGCUGCAGCCGCUGUCUGACCAGCAGUGAGCUCUAUGUGGA